This 450-nucleotide ribosomal RNA is filed under the name uncultured Glomus. RNAcentral's name for it is "SSU rRNA". It matches the Rfam family "Eukaryotic small subunit ribosomal RNA", at positions 569 to 1024 of the family's 1831-position model. Lineage: Eukaryota; Fungi; Glomeromycota; Glomeromycetes; Glomerales; Glomeraceae. The record is from RNAcentral.
AGCAGCCGCGGUAAUUCCAGCUCCAAUAGCGUAUAUUAAAGUUGUUGCAGUUAAAAAGCUCGUAGUUGAAUUUCGGGAUCAAUAUGUUGGUCGUGCCUUGGUACGUACUGGCGUCAUUGGUUUCUACCUUCUGAAGAACCUCGAUGUCAUUAAUUUGGUGUCUUGGGGAAUCAGGACUGUUACUUUGAAAAAAUUAGAGUGUUUAAAGCAGGCUCACGCUUGAAUACAUUAGCAUGGAAUAAUGAAAUAGGACGUUUGAUUCUAUUUUGUUGGUUUCUAGGAUCGACGUAAUGAUUAAUAGGGAUAGUUGGGGGCAUUAGUAUUCAAUUGUCAGAGGUGAAAUUCUUGGAUUUAUUGAAGACUAACUACUGCGAAAGCAUUUGCCAAGGAUGUUUUCAUUAAUCAAGAACGAAAGUUAGGGGAUCGAAGACGAUCAGAUACCGUCGUAGU